UACGGGGUGGGCGAGCGUUGCCCGGAAUUACUGGGUUUAAAGGGGGUGUAGGCGGUCCGGAGAGUCAGGUGUGUAAUCCAACCGCUCAACGGUUGGGCUGCACCUGAUACUGUCUGGCUUGAGGGCCGGAGAGGCUGGCGGAAUUCCCGGUGUAGGGGUGAAAUCCGUAGAUAUCGGGAGGAACACCGGUGGGGAAGCCUGCCAGCUGGACGGAUCCUGACGCUGAGGCACGAAAGCGUGGGGAGCAAACCGG
This 253-nucleotide ribosomal RNA is filed under the name uncultured microorganism. RNAcentral's name for it is "partial 16S ribosomal RNA". It matches the Rfam family "Bacterial small subunit ribosomal RNA", at positions 524 to 776 of the family's 1533-position model. The record is from RNAcentral.